AACGCGAAGAACCUUACCAGUCCUUGACAUGCCACGACGGUUUCCAGAGAUGGACUCCUCCCCGCAAGGGGCGUGGACACAGGUGCUGCAUGGCUGUCGUCAGCUCGUGUCGUGAGAUGUUGGGUUAAGUCCCGCAACGAGCGCAACCCUCGCCCUUAGUUGCCAUCAUUUAGUUGGGCACUCUAAGGGGACUGCCGGUGAUAAGCCGCGAGGAAGGUGGGGAUGACGUCAAGUCCUCAUGGCCCUUACGGGCUGGGCUACACACGUGCUACAAUGGCGGUGACAAUGGGACGCAAUGGAGCAAUCCUGCGCAAAUCUCAAAAAGCCGUCUCAGUUCGGACUGUGCUCUGCAACUCGAGCACAUGAAGUUGGAAUCGCUAGUAAUCGCAGAUCAGCACGCUGCGGUGAAUACGUUCCCGGGCCUUGUACACACCG
This 435-nucleotide ribosomal RNA is filed under the name uncultured bacterium. RNAcentral's name for it is "bacterial SSU rRNA". It matches the Rfam family "Bacterial small subunit ribosomal RNA", at positions 958 to 1392 of the family's 1533-position model. The record is from RNAcentral.